AAAUGAACUCUGACUUAAAGGCUCAGCUGCGGGAGUUGAACAUCACAGCAGCUAAGGAAAUUGAAGUGCGUGGUGGCAGAAAAGCCAUCAUUAUCUUUGUACCAGUUCCUCAGCUGAAAUCUUUCCAGAAGAUUCAGGUGCGGCUAGUUCGUGAGCUGGAGAAGAAAUUCAGUGGAAAGCAUGUGGUGUUCACUGCUCAGAGAAGGAUUCUGCCUAAGCCAACACGAAAAAGCCACGUAAAAAACAAGCAAAAGCAUCCCAGGAGCCGUACACUCACUGCAGUGCACGAUGCCAUUCUUGAAGACCUGGUUUUCCCAAGUGAAAUUGUGGGCAAGAGAAUCCGUGUAAAACUGGAUGGCAGCAGGCUCAUAAAAGUCCAUUUGGGCAAAGCACGACAGAACAAUGUUGAACACAAGGAGGAAACAUUUUCUGGUGUCUACAAGAAGCUCACAGGCAAAGAUGUGGUAUUUGAAUUUCCAGAAUUCCAGCUGUAAAGGGCAAAAAAU
Molecule: non-coding RNA, 506 nt
Organism: Nipponia nippon (crested ibis)
Lineage: Eukaryota; Metazoa; Chordata; Aves; Pelecaniformes; Threskiornithidae
Source: RefSeq, a predicted model, not a curated record